UCCCUGUUUUAAAGUAUUAAAAAUAAUCUUCAAACCCAUUCCUUCACUCCUAUUGAAGAUUAUUUUUAAUACUUUAAAACAGGGGUG
This 87-nucleotide microRNA precursor is filed under the name Podarcis lilfordi (Lilford's wall lizard). The record is from RNAcentral. Lineage: Eukaryota; Metazoa; Chordata; Lepidosauria; Squamata; Lacertidae.